UACGGGGGGAGCAAGCGUUGUUCGGAUUUACUGGGCGUAAAGGGCGCGUAGGCGGCCACGACAAGUCAGUUGUGAAAUCUCUGGGCUUAACUCAGAACGGUCAACUGAUACUGUCGGACUAGAGUACAGAAGGGGCAACUGGAAUUCUCGGUGUAGCGGUGAAAUGCGUAGAUAUCGAGAGGAACACCUGCGGCGAAGGCGGGUUGCUGGGCUGAUACUGACGCUGAGGCGCGAAAGCCAGGGGAGCGAACGGG
Molecule: ribosomal RNA, 254 nt
Filed under: uncultured bacterium
Lineage: Bacteria
Description: partial 16S ribosomal RNA
Rfam family: Bacterial small subunit ribosomal RNA
Source: RNAcentral